UGGGGAAUAUUGCACAAUGGGCGCAAGCCUGAUGCAGCCAUGCCGCGUGUAUGAAGAAGGCCUUCGGGUUGUAAAGUACUUUCAGCGAGGAGGAAGGCAGUCGUGUUAAUAGCACGACUGAUUGACGUUACUCGCAGAAGAAGCACCGGCUAACUCCGUGCCAGCAGCCGCGGUAAUACGGAGGGUGCAAGCGUUAAUCGGAAUUACUGGGCGUAAAGCGCACGCAGGCGGUCUGUCAAGUCGGAUGUGAAAUCCCCGGGCUCAACCCGGGAACUGCAUUCGAAACUGGCAGGCUAGAGUCUUGUAGAGGGGGGUAGAAUUCCAGGUGUAGCGGUGAAAUGCGUAGAGAUCUGGAGGAAUACCGGUGGCGAAGGCGGCCCCCUGGACAAAGACUGACGCUCAGGUGCGAAAGCGUGGGGAGCAAACA
This 427-nucleotide ribosomal RNA is filed under the name uncultured Tatumella sp. RNAcentral describes it as "bacterial SSU rRNA". It matches the Rfam family "Bacterial small subunit ribosomal RNA", at positions 355 to 774 of the family's 1533-position model. Lineage: Bacteria; Pseudomonadati; Pseudomonadota; Gammaproteobacteria; Enterobacterales; Erwiniaceae. The record is from RNAcentral.